GUGAGGGGGCGUGGUCUGAGCCGAAGGGGGAGUGACCGGGUGUGGCGGGGCGGGGUCUGACCCUGAGGGGCGUGGCCUGGCCGUGAGGAGACGUGGCCGGACUGUGAGGGGGCCGGCGCCGGGACCGGCACUGGUACUGGGCUGCUCUGUUGGAUCGUGGAUCGCUGCCCUCAGCGCGGAGCCCGCCGCACUGAGAGCACUCCCGGUGUCCCCCAGAGCACGGCCCGCCACUGCUGUGCAGAUGCUGCUGAGUGAAGUUGUGACAGAGCUCGACCACAGAGAGCAGCGAAUCCGAGUGGGACGAGACCUGAGCAAAUGAGAAUCCUGCUCCCCGGUGGAAGAGAGAUCACCUUAUAUGGGAACAUCACGGACAAGAGGAUGAACGCCCAGCCGGGCUGCUGAGACAGUUGUCUAGCCACUUCUCACAGACUCUGACAGGAGGGGACGAUGUUAACAGCUCAGGAAGUACCAGUGUGAAGGAAGUGGCUCACAAAAGCAACAGGAUCUGGGAUGCAGCAGAAAAUACUGUACCAAUGCAGGCAAGUCUUCAGUUAUUGUCAGUUCAA
This is a long non-coding RNA of Oenanthe melanoleuca, 566 nucleotides long. RefSeq lists it as uncharacterized. The record is from RefSeq and is a predicted model, not a curated record. The transcript is spliced from 3 exons. NCBI's taxonomy places the organism in Eukaryota, Metazoa, Chordata, Aves, Passeriformes, Muscicapidae.